Molecule: long non-coding RNA, 217 nt
Filed under: Homo sapiens (human)
Lineage: Eukaryota; Metazoa; Chordata; Mammalia; Primates; Hominidae
Description: HSALNT0377252
Source: RNAcentral
ACAUGAGGCCAACCGGGAACCAUGUGAGAGAGCUUAAGGCAGAUUCUCUGAAGCCACACCAGGAUUCCUGACCACAAAGUCUCUGACAUGAGAAAUGUUUCUCUAGAAAUAUCCUGGAAAAAUAGCUUCUCUUGUCCCUGAGAGACAGCCCCAUGGCAGAGCAGCAAAAGAGGACCAGUGCUCCACCUUGGUGAAAUACAAGAUGACUGGGGUGAAG